Molecule: long non-coding RNA, 602 nt
Organism: Cryptotermes secundus
Lineage: Eukaryota; Metazoa; Arthropoda; Insecta; Blattodea; Kalotermitidae
Exons: 2
Source: RefSeq, a predicted model, not a curated record
UCCUGGAGGAGCUGAGCUCUGUAAGACAGCACACAGUGAGUGAAAUCCCAGCCGCUCAUAAUCGCAAUCCACCUGUAUUGGUACACUGUACAGCUGGAGUGGGGCGUACUGGAGUAACGAUACUGAGUGAUUUACUGCUUUACACACUUGAUCACAACCAGGAAGCAGAUGAAGUUAAUGGAAGACCAUAUCAAGCAGUAUAAAGACAAUUAUCCUGUGGACAAAUAUAAGAAUUCUGUUUAACAUAUCAUCUACAACUUGAAAUGUUAAGAUGUCUGGCCACAAGGACAGGAUUGCAAGUUCUGUGAAGAAAAAUGUUGUUUUAAAGAGUGAAUUUUCCAUGGAUUUGCAUGGAAGUACAAAUACACAAAUGGGAAAAGUACUUUACUAUGAGGGUUUUUUAAUUAUUUUUAUAUAAAUUGUAUAACUUGUUUUAUAACAUUUUAUGUGCUCCAUAUAUGUAUAUGGUAUUUUAUUGUAACUUAAUGUAAGCUGACACAUAUAAUGCACAUUUUCCAUCAUCUCAUUUUGAUUAAAGAACUGCAAUAUGUCAGAAUUUGACUCUAGCUCCAUCAUCAGGUAAAAAAAGAAAGAGAAAAAAG